RNAcentral lists this long non-coding RNA (1254 nucleotides) under Macaca fascicularis (crab-eating macaque). RNAcentral's name for it is "lncRNA (ENSMFAG00000059440.1)". The record is from RNAcentral. Lineage: Eukaryota; Metazoa; Chordata; Mammalia; Primates; Cercopithecidae.
GCCCCUGCUCGCGCUGCAGCCCGUGGAAGGGUUGCGUCCAGUGUAUCCUCCAGAUCUUGCGGUAGUCCUCUCGUAUCUGUGCGCGCGCGGGAGGGACAGCGGCGGCGACGGCCGGAGGUGUACGGAUCUUGCUCUGUCACCCAGGCCAGAGUGUAGUGGUGCGAUCACAGCUCACUGCAGCCUCGACCUCCCAGGCUCAAGUAAUCCUCCCACCUCAGCCUCCCAGUUGCUUCCUCUACUGAAGUCUUGAAACCCCUGAAAGUCAUCCCUGAGGGUUGGAGUUAACUUCUUCUACACUCCUGUUAAUGUUGAUAUUUUGGCCUCCUCCCAUGAAUCACAAAUGUUCUUAAUGGCAUCUAGAAUGGUGAGUCCUUUCCAAAAGAUUUUCAAUUUACUUUUCCUGGAUCCAUCAGAGGAAUCACUGUCUAUCUAUGGCAGCUAUAGACUUAUGAAAUGUAUUUCCUAAAUAAUAAGACCUGAAAGUCAAUAUUACUCCUUGAUCCAUGGGCUGCAGAAUGGAUGUUGUGUUAGCAGGCAUGAAAACAGCAUGAAUCUCCUUGUACAUCUCCAUCAGAGCUCUUAGGUGAUCAGGUACAUUUUUCAAUGAGCAGUAAUAUUUUGAAUGGAAUCUUUUUAUCUGAGUAGCAGGUCUCAACAGUAGGUUUAAAAUAUUUAAUAAACUAGGCUAUAAACAGAUUUGCUAUCAUCCAGGCUUUGUUGCUCUGUUUAUAGAGCACAGAGUAUAUUUAGCAUAGUUCUUAAGGAUCCUAGGAUUUUCAGAAUGGUAAAAUGAACACUGGCUUCAAGUUAAAAGUCACCAGUUUCGUGAGCCUCUAACAAGAGAGUCAUCCUGUCUUUUGAUGCUUUGAAGCCAGGUAUUGACUUCUUUCUAGCUAUAAAAGUACUAGAUGGCAUAUUCUCCCCGUAUAAGACUGUUUCAGCUACACUGAAAAUCUGUUGGCCAGGUGCAAUGGCUCGCGCCUGUAAUCCCAGCACUUUGGGAGGCUGAGACGGGCGGAUCACCUGAGGUUGGCAGUUCGGGACUAGCCUAACCAACAUGGAGAAACCCCGCCUCUACUAAAAAUACAAAAUUAGCUGGGCAUAGUGGCGCAUGCCUAUAACCCCAGCUACUCGAGAGGCUGAGGCAGGAGAAUCACUUGAACCCAGGAGGCAGAGGUUGCGGUGAGCUGAGAUCAUGCCAUUGCACUCCAGCCUGGGUGACAGAGCAAGACUCCGUCUUAAAAAAAAAAAAAA